Molecule: transfer RNA, 77 nt
Filed under: bacterium
Lineage: Bacteria
Description: tRNA-Val
Rfam family: tRNA
About the family: Transfer RNA (tRNA) molecules are approximately 80 nucleotides in length.
Source: RNAcentral
GGGCGAUUAGCUCAAUUGGUAAGAGCGUCGGCUUUACAAGCCGAAGGUUAUUGGUUCGAGUCCAAUAUCGCCCACCA